AGCGAACGCUGGCGGCAGGCUUAACACAUGCAAGUCGAACGCCAUCUUCGGAUGGAGUGGCAGACGGGUGAGUAACGCGUGGGAACGUACCCUUUGGUUCGGAAUAUUCUCGGGAAACUGAGAGCAAUACCGGAUAAGCCCUACGGGGGAAAGAUUUAUCGCCAAAGGAGCGGCCCGCGUCAGAUUAGGUAGUUGGUGGGGUAAAGGCCUACCAAGCCUACGAUCUGUAGCUGGUCUGAGAGGAUGAUCAGCCACACUGGGACUGAGACACGGCCCAGACUCCUACGGGAGGCAGCAGUGGGGAAUCUUGGACAAUGGGCGCAAGCCUGAUCCAGCCAUGCCGCGUGGAUGAUGAAGGCCUUAGGGUUAGUAAAAUCCUUCAACGGGGACGAUAAUGACGGUACCCGUAGAAGAAGCCCCGGCUAACUUCGUG
This 433-nucleotide ribosomal RNA is filed under the name uncultured bacterium. RNAcentral's name for it is "bacterial SSU rRNA". It matches the Rfam family "Bacterial small subunit ribosomal RNA", at positions 29 to 507 of the family's 1533-position model. The record is from RNAcentral.